RNAcentral lists this long non-coding RNA (2181 nucleotides) under Triticum aestivum (bread wheat). Its description in RNAcentral is "long non-coding RNA (TAES_LNC020376)". Lineage: Eukaryota; Viridiplantae; Streptophyta; Magnoliopsida; Poales; Poaceae. The record is from RNAcentral.
CGCAAGUGAGGUAAUAUUCACACAAACCAUGUAAUACAUAAGGGACAGAGUUACAUAGUUGGCUUACAAUCGCCACUUCACACAAUACAUGAAUAAAGCAUUACAUCAUUCAAAUACAAUCAAGGUCCGGCUACGGAACCAAAAUGAAAGAAGACUACCCCAAAUGCUACACAAAUCCCCGAUCGUCCCGACUGGGCUCCACUACUGAUCAACUAGAACGAAAUAACACAAAGGACAAGAUCUUCAUCGAGCUCCUCCUUGAGCUUGGUUGCGUCACCUGCUCGGUAACAUCAGCACCUGCAAACUGGUUUUGGAAGUAUAUGUGAGUCACGAGGACUCAGCAAUCUCACACCCUCGCGAUCAAGACUAUUUAAGCUUAUAGGGAGGGUAAAAGGUAUGAGGUGGAGCUGCAGCAAGCGACUAGCAUAUAUGGUAGCUAACCUAUUCGCAAAAAAACAGCGAGAAGAGAAGGCAAAGCAUGGUCGAACAACUAUGAUCAAGAAGUGAUCCUAGAACAACCUACGUCAAGCAUAACUCCAACACCGUGUUCACUUCCCGGACCCCGCCGAGAAGAGACCAUCACGGUAACACACGCGGUUGAUGUAUUUUAAUUAAGGUCAACUUCAGGUUUUCUACAACCGGACAUUAACAAAUUCCCAUCUGCCCAUAACCGCGGGCACGGCUUUCGAAAGUUCAAAUCCCUACAGGGGUGUCCCAACUUAGCCCAUCACAAGCUCUCACGGUCAACGAAGAUAUUCCUUCUAGCGGGAAGACCUGAUCAGACUCGGAAUCCCGGUUACAAGACAUCCUCGACAAUGGUAACACAAGUCCAGCAAAGCCGCCCGAUGCACCAACAUCCUGAUGGGAGCUACACAUAUCUCGUUCUCAGGGCAACACCGGAUAGGUCAAGCUACGAGUAAAACCAGCCCUCAAGUUUCCCCGAGGUGGCCUCGUAGGCUGCCCAUUUCGGACCAACACUUAGACAAGCACUGGCCCAAGGGGGUUAAAAUAAAGAUGACCCUUGGGCUGGCCUAACCCAAGGGGAAAAAAGGCUAGGUGGCGAAUGGUAAAACCAAGGUUGGGCCUUGCUGGAGGAGUUUUAUUCAAAGCGAACUGUUAAGGGGUUCCCAUUAUAACCCAACCGCGUGAGGAACGCAAAAUCCGGGAACAUAACACCGAUAUGACGGAAACUAGGGCGGCAAGAGUGGAACAAAACACCAGGCAUAAGGCCGAGUCUUUCACCCUUUACCAAGUAUAUAGAUGCAUUAAUUAAAUAAAAGAUAUUGUAAUAUCCCAACAAGUAAACAUGUUCCAACAAGGAACAACAUCUUCAUGUUCCAACAAAGAACAAACUUCAAUCUUCACCUGCAACUAACAACGCUAUAAGAGGGGCUGAGCAAAGCGGUAACAUAGCCAAACAACGGUUUGCUAGGACAAGGUGGGUUAAAGGCUUGGUUCAACAAUAUGGGAGGCAUGAUAAGCAAGUGGUAGGUAUCGCAGAAUAGGCAUAGCAAAAGAGCGAGCAUCUAGCAAGCAAAGAUAGAAGUGAUUUCGAGAGUAUGAUCAUCUUGCCUGAAAUCCCGCAAGGAAGAAGAACGAGUCCAUGAAGAAAACAAACGGACGUAGUCGAACGAAUCCUCACAACACGACGUUAUUGGAACCAACCCGAAGAAGCAACACCGGAAAGAAGCAAACAAUCAUGGUAAACAACCAUCACAUAAUCAUGUCAUGAUGCACAAUCAAGUAUGAUGCAUGUCCGGUUUAAUGAAACAUGGCAUGGCAAAGUGCACAAGCAACCCUACAAAUUAAGUGGAGCUCAAUAAGCAACAAGUUGCAUAUUGACGAAACACCACAACAAGUUAUUUAGUUCGAUCUCGUUAUGUACCCAACAAUAUUAAAUGUUGAUUAACAUGGCAAGGGGUGAAGCAAAUGAAAACUACCUAUCUAGGCAAAUUUAAAUGAGGCCGGAACAACAAGCAACACUUCCGAAAAAUCCUCAUAUGCAUUUAUUAGGUUUGGUCAUGUUCUGCCCUAAACACAAUUUUAGAGUUGUUAAACAUGCAAAGUAAAGCCAUCAUAUUAAACUAGGCAUUUUUCUACCCCAUUUACAUAUAAAGUUUAUUAAAUUCCGAGUUACGGUUAUUUAGUUAUGAAUAAAAGCAUUUUAACUUGGCAUAGGAG